This 468-nucleotide ribosomal RNA is filed under the name uncultured bacterium. Its description in RNAcentral is "partial 16S ribosomal RNA". It matches the Rfam family "Bacterial small subunit ribosomal RNA", at positions 28 to 507 of the family's 1533-position model. The record is from RNAcentral.
GACGAACGCUGGCGGCGUGCUUAACACAUGCAAGUCGAACGGAAAGGCCCUGCUUUUGUGGGGUGCUCGGGUGGCGAACGGGUGAGUAACACGUGAGUAACCUGCCCUUGACUUUGGGAGAACUUAAGGAAGCUGGGGCUAAUACCGGAUAGGAGCUCCUGCUGCAUGGUGGGGGUUGGAUAGUUUCGGCGGUUGGGGAUGGACUCGCGGCUUAUCGGCUUGUUGGUUGGGUAGUGGCUGACCAAGGCCUUGACCGGUAGCCGGCCUGGGAGGGUGACCGGCCACAUUGGGCCUGAGCUACGGCACAGACUCCAACGGGAGGCAGCAGUGGGGAAGAUUGUACAAUGGGCGGAAGCAUGAUGCAGCACCGCCGCGUGCGGGAUGACGUCAUUCGGGUUGUAAACCGCAUCCGCCUGAGACGAAGCGUGAGUGACGGUAACGGGUAAAGAAGCACCGGCUAACUACGUG